GUCCACGCCGUAAAACGAUGUCGAUUUGCAGGCUGUGUCCUUGAGACGUGGCUUCCGGAGCUAACGCGUUAAAUCGACCGCCUGGGGAGUACGGCCGCAAGGUUAAAACUCAAAUGAAUUGACGGGGGCCCGCACAAGCGGUGGAGCAUGUGGUUUAAUUCGAUGCAACGCGAAGAACCUUACCUGGCCUUGACAUGUCUGGAAUCCUGCAGAGAUGCGGGAGUGCCUUCGGGAAUCAGAACACAGGUGCAGCAUGGCUGUCGU
Molecule: ribosomal RNA, 264 nt
Filed under: uncultured bacterium
Lineage: Bacteria
Description: partial 16S ribosomal RNA
Rfam family: Bacterial small subunit ribosomal RNA
Source: RNAcentral